This 20900-nucleotide long non-coding RNA is filed under the name Nicotiana tabacum (common tobacco). RNAcentral describes it as "long non-coding RNA (NTAB_LNC005186)". The record is from RNAcentral. Lineage: Eukaryota; Viridiplantae; Streptophyta; Magnoliopsida; Solanales; Solanaceae.
CAUCAUCGUGUUACAUUCAAUCUUAUCAUUCAAAUUCAUUGGAACUAAUUAAGCAACUUACUGUCCAUAUUAAAACCAAACUAUUACACCAAUGUAACAAUUGUAUAUAAAAAAAAUGAUUUAAUUCAAACUACAAAGGGAACACCUAGCUAUAAAAAUAAGGAACAGGCAAUCAGUACAAAAUUUAUUGUCUCCUUUAUGACUAAUUUUUGGUGAUAGCGAUCGUAUACCGCUCUUUCAUUAGUUUAAUCCGAUAAAGCCAUAUCAAUUUGCAAAAAUAAUUACCUNNNNNNNNNNNNNNNNNNNNNNNNNAAUCUGCACAUUUAAGUUGACACCUUAAACUAAAGAUGACAAUGUUACCAACCGCCCCAUCUUUUACUCCCCAAAUUUCAUACACAGCAAUUAGCAGAACCCCACAUACCAUAUACAAGUAAAAUGUACAAAGGCUAUCGUGUAUAUGUGGACAAAGAUCAAUCUUGUGUUUUGUUUACUUAUUUACUACUUGUCUCCAUCAUCGUUCGUUGAUUAUCUGCCUUUUACCUUAACCUCCUUUUCUUUUUGUAUGCAAAACACGAAAUCGGCAACUUCAAUCUAGACGCAAGUAAAACUCAUGGAGCAAGAAAAAUAGAGAAGUAUCGGCUGAUGAUGUUACAAAAUAUAAGAAUGAGAGUUCAGGUUACAAGGGCAGAUCUAAAUUGGAAAACCAUUUAUGAGCGACAAUUAAGUUGACAAAGUUAAAGCCCACUAUUCAAAUCGUCCGCACCUUUGAGAGGGCAGUUCACAAAACAUACAUCAUGAACCACACAUAGACACAUCUGAAUUUCAUAGAAGAAUAAAGAAGAUGGAUUAAAAUAAAAAUCCUACAAGUUUAUAGAGGUAUGUACCUAAAUGCUUGGGCAACAGUACUCCAAAAAGAAACCAAAUGAAAGCAAGAAUGAAGGAUGGAGAUCAACAGAAACAGCACAGCAAAAUCGCAACGCAGCAACAAUACUCCCACACGUCUACAGAUAUUGAGAUUUAGACAGCAAAGUUGUAUUUUCUGUCCUCAAAUGCUUGAUCUGAGAAAGCAUGUCCUUCACAAAUCGAGCAGUUUCAUUUUGUCAGGCCCCGUACCUGGGGGCGAGACCGGCACCUAGUGCCUCACCUAUCCCUGCGUACCAACUUGCAACUAAGGGACUCUGAACAUAUGAUGUCAUACUUUAGCCAUAGGCCACAUUGCAAGAUAACUACGAAUGCUGACUAAAUGUCAAUAUAAAACUGGGCUGACAAGGCCGUCAUAACUAUUACAGCUGACAAACCAACCAAAUAUACAUACAACGCCUGCAAGUCCAACAUAUUGGACUAACUGACAGGAUAUGUCUACAAGCCUCUACUGAUGGAUGUACUAUGAUCGGAACAGCUCCCCGACCUACUCAUAACAUAUAUACAUAUAUAUACAAGAUGUAUAUAAGGCUCUAAACCUGGAAACUCCGAAAGGCAUGGAGCUUACUGAUCAAGCUGAACUUGGGCAAAACUUAUUGAAGAGGCCUACCCGUCUGUCUGUCUGACCUGCACCCAUGAAAUGCAGCGCCCCCAAAAAGGGACGCCAGUACGAAAUAAUGUACUGAGUAUGUAAGACAAUAUACUGAAAGCUGAAAUUGAACUGAUAAUAUAAUAACUGCAAGUAGCUGGAAGUCAAAAAUAAUCUGAAGAUAUGCUUAUCUGCUGAUACUGACUCAACUCUCUCAAUAUAGUAAGUAAAAUAGUUGUCCAGCCCUAUAAGGCUCGGUAUAUAUAUAACUGCUCUGCCGUAGUAGGCUCGCUCAUAGUCGCUCGACCAUACUAGGCUCUGUAUCUCGACCAAUUGGGCUCGCUCAUAAGCGCUCGACCACAGUAGGUUCGGUAUAUAUAUAUAACUGCUUCGCCGUAGUAGGCUCGCUCAUAGGCGCUCGACCAUACUAGGCUCUGUAUCUCGACCAACUGGGCUCGCUCAUAAGUGCUCGACCAUAGUAGGCUCGGUAUAUAACUUACCAUCUGAUUAGAGGUUGCCCAAUAGAGGCCUGCCCAUCGAUUAUAGCUCGAUGGUAAUGAAAAUACUUUAAUAAUGUAUAUAUAAAUUAUUUGCUCUCUUGACUAGAAGAAGGAAAUACUCAAUUGAAUAUGAAGCCCCGAUAAAGAGAAUAGUGUAACUUACAGAACUAGAAAAAUAUACAUAAAUUCUGGGAUAAGGAUUUUUCUUUAUGCUUCAUUUUUCAAACGCGUGUAAUUACGAGAUCAUGUCAAAAUGAAAGAAAGGUCUAGCCUUAACAUACCUGAGUCGAUUCUCUUGACAAUCCCUCUAACAUACAUUAAUUGCGACAAAAUACGGAACAAAUCAUAUGAAAAGCUUGAAGCAAGUACAAAUUCUCGGAAGAAAAUGACCCGGAACACUGACGAAACCUAACCCGGCUAGGAUAGCAGUGGAACUUGACAAACACCCGAGAAAUUGCACAACCAACUUUAGUCAGUACCACACAAAUUCCAUCACAGAGAACCUUUUUCCAACAUUGGCUAAUGAAUUUUGACUUGGUACCACAUGGGAAGCCUCACAAAACAGUAUAAUAUCGUAGUACUGAUGCUCAUGCUUUCUUAUGCAAAUUUGCUAGAAAGAAAGAAGAGGUCUUUUAACGUUGAAGAAUUAUCCCUUAUUAACUUUUGAGGCACUGCUCACAAAAGCAUUUCUUAUAAGUAAAAAAAUGAUAGCUAUCCACAUUUACGUGGUGAACUCAUUAGUUCUCUAGAGAUCUCAAUUAGUAUAGUCGACUGUCCUAGCCUUGCCACCUUUCCCUUCAAUUCAUGAGUCACACUCUUGGCAUGGAAGGGCUGCCACGUAAUUCCCUUGUUGGGAUUUAAACUUUAUCCAAUAAUCAAUUAGGUAAUAUCCCGCUACUCGAUAAUUAAUCAAUUACCCGUAUAAUUAAGAAUUGUCUCAAAUUAAUUAAAUUUUUUUUUAUUCUUAAUACGCUUUAUACACCUCACUAACAUGUUCACGCGGUACCAUAUAAAAUUAAUAUAUACACUAUUAUUUCUUUAAAAUAUCCAUGUAAAAAUACAUAUAUUUCUCAACUUAUAAUUUUCUAAUCUCAUAUAAAGAGUAAAAUUUUCGUACGCUUAAUUCUUAAAAUGGUAAAAUGUUAACUUCUUUUCUUGUGAGAAAAUAAUUUAUAUUUUUACAAUAAAGAAAAUCUCAUAAACUUUCUCAUAUUAUGAGUAUAAUUUAAAACAUAUUCAAAAGUUGUAAUAUUAAUAAAAAUAUAAAAUUAUAUCUUUCAAACUACUUUUUUUUCUCUAUAAAAAUAUUCCACUCAAAAUACCAUAUCAAAUAUAUAUAUCCUUUUCGGUCUUUAUUAUUCCUAUUUUUUGUAGUCCUGUUUUAAAAUUGUAUAAUUUUAACAGAAUAAUACUCUAAUAGUAUUACUUUUAGAAAUUAAUAAAAAGCUAGAUAAAAUUAUUAAAGAAAAGGAGAUAAAGACUGAAAUCCUAAAAGUAGACGAUUUAAUGGAACAAUUAAAAAGAGUUGAAAUACCACCGCAAAAAAAUAAAAUUAAAAUAAGAAAACCACAAAAAUGGACAUUUUUCCAGGUGGGUCAAGAACAACAAACCAAGAGAGAUCACGAAUAAGUUUUUCAGAUAAUAGAAUAGGUAAUAAUAUGUUAGCUAGAAUUCUAACUAGAAAAAAGACAAGAAGAAAAUCAGAAAUUGGAUGAAAUAAUAGAUAUAGACAAAGAUAUACAAAUCUUUCAACAAAAUCAACUAAGGUUACUCAAUCCGAGAAUACUAUAUAAUACAGGAUAUUUUUCAAAUAACUCUCGACUAUAUAGACAUUAUACAAAAGAGCAAUUAUCAGCUAUAGGAAAUAAGGUUGCAACAUUAAAUUUAAUUAAUCCAGAAUCAGUAAGACAAAUUAAAAAUUAUAAAAAGAAUUCGCAUAUUGGAUUAAUACUAAUCGGAUUAAAAGGACUAACUAGAAAGAAUUUAGGAACUAAAGUACUAAUAGUAGUAUAUGAUGAUAGAUGGUCAGAUCAAAAGAAAUCUAUAAUAGGUUUAACAGAAGUAGACAUGACAAAUAAUGGAGGAAUAUUUUACAUUAGCCCAGAUUUCAUGAUAAAUCUAGCAGAAUUUGGAAAAAAUAUCAAAAUAGGUAUACAGACUAAGGGAUAUGAAGAAAUGAAUAAUGGAAAUAAUUUACUGAUAUGUGUAAGUUUCAUAGGAAAAAUGGCAACAAAUAGUAAUACAAAAUUUAAAAUUAAGGUAGACGAUGUAGUCGAAGUAAUGAGAAAUAAAGGAAUAAAAUUAAUAAAACCUAUUAAGAUAAACCCAGAAGAAUAUGCUGGAUUAGAAUGGAAUCUAGAAGAUUUCGCAAAGCCAAAAAUAUUCAAACCAGAAUCUCAUUUAAUGUAUACAAACUCUAAAGGAAAAACAUCAAUUAGGUUUACCAAUUAUAACUAUUCUACCCAAAAAGAAAUAGAUGAUGGAACUGAAAGUACGAUGGAAGAUAAUGAUACUGAAUUUAUGAAUAUUGAAAUAAUACAAGACGAAUUCGAAGUAGACAUAGCAUUAAAAAAAUCAAGAAUGGUAAUAAACUACAAUUGUAUGAGAAGGGUGUGCAUUCUCCAAUGAAUGUAGCAAGAUCCACUGUAUCGGAUAAUGAUACAGCUAGUCCAGUUCAAACGGUAACCAGUAAAGACACAUCAAAUCCGUUUAUGGCUGUCACUUUGCCAAAAAGUAAAGAUGAAGGUCCAUCGAGAAGAAGACUACUCAGAACUUUAACACAGGAGAAGCGUUAAAAAAGAAGGGUAUAAUUUCAAAAAAUGAAAAAAUAGAAAAUAUAAUCAAACAGACAUUAGAAAACAUUUUUCAAGAAAAGGAAGAACAAGACAAACACAUGGUUAAGAAUCCAAGUCCAAAUCCAGAAAGGACCCAAAGUUCAGGAGAAGAUGAUAACUAUGAAGACAACCUAAAUUAUCAAGAUGCUCAAGAUCCAUAUAAAGACGAGUCAGAAAUGAGUUUUGAUACAAUAGUUAUACAUAAUUUAGACACAUAAAAGCAAAGUCUUAGUUAAACAGCAAGUAAAAGAGCACCAAAGACAAAGGAAAAAUGACAAGGCUGGUAUACAGAGCAAUAAUGUUGGCAUACCAAUGAGAAAAACAAGAAAGUAAAGAAGAUGUGACAGAAAGAAAUGCUAGCUAUGCUAAAAGACAAAAGUGACAAGUGACAUAAAGUAGAGAAGAUGUGACAAGAGGUAAUGUUAGUUGUGCUAAAAGACAAGUUAAAAUUUUGAGUGGAAGAAAAAGUUACGAACACGAAAGGAAUCUCCGACCAAGCCAUGUGAAGAUGAGGCCCAAUGAAGUACCCUGCAAGUAUGGACAAGAUAGAUUUCGAAAGAGUUUGGAAUUUAUUUUUCAAAUCCGUUCAAAAAUUUAGCUAUAAAAGGGAGAAGAAAGAAGAAGAAAAACACUUUGAAAAAAAAACCCAUCCAACCAACUUUUCAUCAACCAAAAUUCCUCUUCCNAAACACUUNNNNNNNNNNNNNNNAUAAAUAAGUCUUUAUGCUUAUGUGUGAUCGUUUUUAAUUCUCAAAGCUCAAUAGACUUUUUCGAGUUUCCCGAAAGGGAAAUCUCUCUCCUAUAAGCAUGUAAGUUACUCACCUUUAUCUAAAUUAUGUUUCUGCUAGAUACUUACCCCUAUUUAUUUUAAAAAUUUUUGUUAUUCUGUAUAGUUUUAUGUUUCAUGUUCAUAUGCUCGAUUAUUAGAUAUCACUCUUAGUAUAUGGUUAACUUCCCAAUUUCUUAGCAAUUAUGAUGGAUUAACCUGUAAAUUCCUAGGAAAAACUGGUUAAGUAAAAUCUGAAAACAAUUAAGAAGGGUAUAAGUGUUUAACUAUGGUCGGGUGAGGUUAAAGAAAUAAGAGUUAAGAAAGGUGUCAAAAACUUUAAAAUAUUGGGAAGAAGAGAUGAACAGAGUGGAUUAAAAAAAAGAGUAGUAAAGGGGUAAUCUCAGUUCAUAAUUUAGUUAAUAUGGUAACUAUACAAGUCUAUAGAAUAAGAGAGAGAGAGUACCGAGUAGGAUUUUCACAACAUAAGAGUUUAAUCGCAAAAAAUAAUUUUAUUGUUAAUGUCCAAUAAUCGUAAUAACUAUACAAAUCGAGAAAGCUUUGCUAGGAGCCUUACUCAAAGUUUGGAAGAAUUUAUAUUAGACAUAGAAACCGGAUUUUAUUCGAUAGUAGAUUUGGCCGUACAUUUUAUAUAUCUACAAUACAAUAGUAGUAUCUGUUCAGAUAGAUAUAGAAAACAACUGCAUUUGAUAUAGUUAAUAUUAUCAUACCAUCAGUCAUAUCAUCUAUACCAUCUAAGAAGACGAUUUUAAUUUUUUAACUCUAACUUUUUAGGCAACUUUAACUGACUUUAACUUUUUAACCCCUUCUUAUAUAUAUAUAUAUAACAGUAUCAAGGUGGUUAAACUUAUGAGGUGUAACACAUUCAAUAUGGAGGCUUUUCCAUUCAUCUGCUCAAAUAGUUCAAGAGCAUCAGCCAAACCAAGGAAAAGCUCAUUGGUCGUCUCUUUGGUUCUUCAGAAUCAUUUGAGAGUUGCAAAAUAAAAUUCAGGGAAGUUGGAGAAGAGGGAUGUCUUUUAUUUAAUUUAUGUAAAAAGAGGAGGGUAUCGCCGUUCUCUAUUUUUCAGAGAAAAAGGUCCACCUUUUUGAGAAGGUUCAAUCUCUUUCUUUUUAUGUGGGAUCCGAUCUUUUUUAGUGAAGAAAAAAGGGAAAGCUGCGCUAGGUCUAGAAAAAUGGGGAAGGGAUCCCAUUUUUAGGUCUAGGAACUAGGUUUUAAUUAAAGGGGAUGGGUUUUGGGUCGGUUCGGGUCGGGUCAGGCGGGUUUGGGGCUGUUUUGGGGGAAUUUGGGAUUGGACUAGUUUAGAAAGAAAUGGCCAAUUCGGCCAAAAACCCUUUUUAAAAUUUUUUUAAAGACUAAUUAAUUUAAAUAAACCCUAAACUAAGUCCUAAAUUAUCUUUAUUUGCAAAAUUAAACUAAUUAUCCAUUUGUAUUAAUUAUAAAAAUUACUUAAUCCUAAAUUAAAAGAGAAAAAUCAAUAAUCUAAAAAUUAAAAGGUAAAAAAUGUAAAAUGAGCCAUUUUUUUGAUUUUCAACUUUAAUAAAAUAAAUAAUUAACUAAAUAAUCCUAAAAUUAUAAAAAUAAAAAUCUAAAUACAAUGCAUGGUAUUUUUUUGAUUUUAAUAAAAAUUAAACGCGCACAAAAAUAUAAACAAUUAAUAAAAUUCUACAAAAAUUCCUAAAAAUAUCAAAUAAUUAAGUAAAAUCUAUUUUCUUGGGUUUUGUUUAGGAGUAGUUCGUAGAGGACAAAAAUCACAUGCUCACAACGACCAAUCAUCAUACUCCUACCAUAUAUACUGGUAUCCGAGCCCGAAGGUAGUACCAUGACAUUUCAGCAGUAUCGGUUUGGUAAUACCGUGGAGAUUCUUCCCAAGCCCUUUGUCGGGUUCAUACCUAGACCAUGCCAGUAUGCUUUCUAUUUUGCUACUCUAUCAUUUGCCUUUCUCAACGGCAUUGACACGUUCGAUGUGAUGAUAGGUUUCCCCUCCUGCCGUACUUCUGUUUCCGAUAACCGGGAUGGUUUGACUGGUGUAAAUAGGGUUACUCCCGUCUCUGUGAAUAAUCACCUCCUGAUAGAUCCAUUCAAAUUUCAUGACUUGAUAUAGUGUGGAAGCCACAGCCCCAGCUGCAUGUAUCCAUGGUUGGCCCAACAGAAGAUUGUAUAAGGCUGAUAUGUCGAGUACCUGGAAUUCCACGUCGAACCAAGUUGGCCCCAUCUGCAGACAAAGAUUAAUUUCUCCAAUCGUGGCCCUUUGAGACCCAUCGAAGGCUUUCACGUUCAUGCUUCCUGCCCGUAUUUCAUGGAAACCUUUGCCCAAUCUUUUCAGAGUAUUCAAUGGACAAAUAUUGAGGCUUGAACCUCCAUCAAUCAAGACCCUGACAAUGAAUUUGUCUUCAAAUUGCACUGUGAUAUGCAAUGCUCGGUUGUGAUUCAACCCUCCAGGUGGUAGCUCAUCCUCGUGGAAGAUUAUUUUAUGACUUUCCAGCAUUUUCCCUACCAUGUUGGCCAUCUCUCCACAGAUGAUAUUGUUGGGAACGUAAGCUUCAGUCAACACAUUCAUCAAAGCAUUCUUGUGCGCCUCUGAAUUUUGCAAUAGUGAUAGUAUGGAUAUCUGAGUUGUAGUUUUGUUUAAAUGAUCGAUGACGGAGUAUUACCUUGCUUGUACUUUCCUCCAUAGGUCAUCUGGUCCUAUUUCAAUGACAGGCUGCUUGGCAGUUGCAUCCUUACUUGGUCCUCCCAAGUGUUUAGGUGUAUAGAUUUUUUCGGUCCUAGUCAUUCCUUGUGCAGCAUCAGAUUCCUCCAUUUUUGACUUUCUUUUUCACCUAACUUCGCAACGUAAUCCCAGGGUAUUGCUUUUAAAUUGAAAGGAGGUGUGGUUGAUACUAUCACUGUGAAAGGUGUGGCCACUUCCACUUUAAAUGGAAUAGGGGUGGCUGCAGGUGGAGCUACCUCAACCUCAAAUGGAACCGAUGCAGCUACCCCAACAUCGAUUGGUAACUGAGUCUGUACUACAAUAGGAGUAAGUGUGACUGCAAGUUUAAAGUCAUCACCUUCUCAAAUAAUCCCGAUUGACCCCUCAGGAUCCCAUUCCUCAUCCAUCUCUAUCACAUGUAUCCCGCCACCCAUAUGAUCCAAGAGAGGAUUGUUGCGGACAUUGGGUAUAGCUUCUUUCGCCUAUAUGACCUUGAUGUCAAUUAGUGUUUGGAUUUUAUCUUUCAAUGUCCGGCACUCAUCAAUGGUGUGCCCCUUCAUACCGGAAUGGUAUGCACAGGUUUUUUUGGGUUUACCCAUUGGGACGGGUUUUCUAUGGCCACAGCGGGAAUGGGAGUGACGUAACCAGCAACCUUCAACCUUUCAUACAGUCGGUCGAUGGGCUUAGCAAUAGUGGUGUAUUGUCUGGGUAGUUUGCGGUCAAAAUUGGGUCAAAAUUAGGUCAUGGUAUUGGAUAAUUUUGGUGAGUUGGAGGUGACUGGAAAUGAGAUGGUUGGGAAUUAUAGGUAUGAUAGACAGUGGCUAGUUGGGAAUAUCUGGGAGAUGAGGGUUGAUAUGUAGUUGGUGGUGCUUGGUAUGUGGGUGGGGGUGUUUGAUAUGUGAGUGGAGGUAUUUGAUAUGUGAGUGGAGAUUUUGGGCCCUGAGCCACCAUUACUGCCCCAACAUCUUUCUUCUUUGAUAUGCUGCCUGAUUGUAAUGCCUUGUUUGUGGCCUGUAAUGCCUCAAAGUUCGUUACCAUCUUGCUUUUGAUACCUUCUUCGAUUAUUUCCCCAAGUUUGAUGAUAUCAGAGAAUUUAUGGGUUUCAAUAACCAUCAACCUUUCAUAGUAUUACGGAUCCUAUGCUCUAACGAAAAAUUUGUUCAUCUGUUCCUCAUCCAAAGAUGGCCUGACUUUGGCUACUUCCAACCUCCAACGAGUAGCAUACUCGCAGAAAGUCUCGGUGGGCUUAUUCUUAAGGUUCUGAAUGUAGAAAACAUCUGGCGCAUUUUCUGUGUUGAACCUGAAUCGGUCCAUGAAAUCAGACGCCAUACUCACCCAGUUAGACCAUUUCAUAGGAUCUUGGCUGAUGUAACAAGACAUGGCAUCUCCCGUAAGACUCCUCAUGAAAAGCUUCAUCUGGAUCUUUUCAUCCUUUCCGACCCCGACGAGUUUGUCACAAUAGGUCCUUAGAUGAACCCUAGGAUCACCUAUACCAUCAAACAUCUCGAACUUGGGAGGUUUGUAACCCUCUAGCAGUUAUAAUCCAGCUGUAUGCACAAGUAUUCAUAGUUCAAACUUUCUAUCCCUUUGCCUCCUUCGACACCCUGAACUCGACUUGUCAAUUUCUUGAAUUCCUCAGCCAUGUUCUUGAUGAGCAUGUCCUUCUCAGCGGAUUCUGGUGUAUAGGAGGUUAGUUGGAUAGAGUGAGGUACAAUUUCCACGUAUAUAGGGUUAUUUUGGUGAAUUCCAGGAGCCUGGGUGUAGUGGUGGUCAUUGGUUGAGUUUUGAGGAUCGGGAAUGGGAUGUGGUGUGUUCUGAGGAGUGUGAUAAAUGGUGGUUGGUGGGUACUGAAUUGGUUGAUGAUGGUGUUGUGGUGGAGUUGGUAUUGGUAAGGGAUUGAAAUUUUGAGGUAGAGUUGCAUAUUGAUGCGGUGCAUGAGGGCUUUGUGGAUGUUGGUUCAGUGUGUUUUGGGAGGUGCUGGGUUUUUGGUGUUUUGUUGGUUGAUAUCAGGGACAUUCAGGGUGAGGGUUAGGUUUGCCAAGUUGCGGACCUGCUCAAGUUCUCCCUGUAGUUCCAGUAUCUUUUGUUCUAACCUCAAAACUAAAUCAUUUGGUGCCGGAGUGCUCCGUCUGUCUGAAGUUUCUGCAUUUUCUAUAUUUUCUUUUCGAAUACCACUUAAGUCGUCCAUUUUAGCUUUCCAUUUACUCUUUGUAUUACUUGGAGGAGGAGGAGGUGGAGGGCCUCUAGAUCUGGUGUGAUACGCUGAUGAUGCCAGUAUGUGCCAACCAACCUUGGGGGAUGGGAAUAAAGAAUAAAGAAAAACAAAGGUAAACAAGUCAGUAAGGGUUCUGAAAUGUUUGCAGUAUUUAAACAGAUAUUGCGGGAAUGUAAAUUUUCAUCCUAAUUUGGGAGCCUCGUUGUGCCCGAGGUAGGCCUAUCAACAAAUAAAUUUGGAGAAAUUCAAUACCAAUAAUUGCCUCAUUUCAUUAAUGUAAAAGUAAACGACCCAAAACGAUACUAAAUAAGAUAAUGUUGCUAAUGACACUUGGCCUUAUUACAUUUAAAUGGAAAGCAAGUAAAUCUAAUCUACUUGGUCCCAGAAGUACCCUCUCUAGACCGGAUGUUGUUGUCAAUCAACUCUCCCAGCUCGCGUAGGUUCAGCAGUAGGAAUUCCCUUGCCAAAUGCCUUCCUUCAUUUCCUUCAGCGUUCUGGCAGUCGGUGACCCUCUUCCUUAUCUUCCCUUCCAAUUCCAUUAAACUGUACUCCAGAUAUUCCAGCCUCUUGCUAGAUUUAACAGCUCUUUCUUUCCACUCGUUAAUCAUUUCCAUAUCGGCCUUAUGCUGCGCCACAUGCUCAACUCCAGACUCUCGAACUCUUUUGCGCAGCUUGUUGUACUUCACCUCUACUUUGGCAAACUCAUCUAUGACCUUGUUUCUUGGACCAUUCCUUGGCUCAAAGACUCUUGAUAGGUUAUCAUCCAACCAUGAGGGGUAAAGUAUGAAUGGCCUGCAUGAUAUUGGUCCGGCUCGAUAUUAUCCUUCUCCACAAUAAUCUUUAAAGUCCACAUAUGUUGUGCUUCAUUCUUGUAUGGGAUGGCAUCACCCUAGAAAUCAGCUAUGAAGUGACUCGUCUUAGUAACCCCGGUAUGACUUGUCUUCUGCAUGCCUGUCUCAUAACCCUGAGAGGAGCAUAAUGGUAUAUCCCUCUUAACCCAAUCAACACCAAAUGCGGGACAUCUCUGGAUCUUAUGAUGAACUCGUCGGUGGGGAACCACUCGAACAUCCACUGAACCUGGUCCUCAGUCAACUUGUUGAAAAACUGCACCCAUCCUACAACAUCCUUAGGUUGAGCAAACAUGUCUGGAAUGUAGGUCAUUCUCUUAGGGUGAUGGAAGGCUAUGUGGUCAUUCCACGGUCUUCGUGGAAACUCUUGGCGGUAUUGACCCCUUUGGAGAUAUUCUAACAGCCAGACUUGUAACAACAAAUUGCAACUCUCAAAGAAUCUAGAUCCCUUCUAACAGUGUUCCAAAGCCCGAUACAUAUCCGCAAUGAUCAUAGGGACAAUAGUAUAUGUCUGCCCCUCGAUCCUAUCCAUCAGAGUUUUGGCCACCAUGGCCAGCCUAGUAUGAAUUCUAUCCCUUGGAUUGGGAAUACCAGCAUGCCCAAGAAGCACACAAUGAACACGAAGACAUUAUGAUGAACCCAGCCUAAGGAGGUGAUUGAGAAUUCAUCAUAAAAAAUACGGUAAGAGCUAGUGUGACUGGAUCUUUCAUAGAUGAAGUCAAAAGGUACGUAGGAAUUUUUUAGGCACCCCAAAUCAUCAUUUUUCUUCAGCCCCAUCAUCUUAAGGAACCCUCUGGUGGUGCAAUUUUCAUGUGCUAACAGACCAGGGCUAUCCCAAGGGAGCCCAGCAAAUCCUCCUAUUUCUUCUAGGAGGGGAGUCAUCUCUAUAUCCCCAAAAUAGAACACAGCCCGUUCCUUAGCCCAAAACAGAGUGGCAACAUCGAUCAUCAUUUUGCUCGGUUGAAGAUCUAAUAGUGAUGGCAAAUUCCUGAAGACUCUUUUCAUAUGAUUUUCGUCGCUUGAGUGAAGGUCCCUCCACCAAUCUAUCAAAAGUGGAGGUAUGCUAUCGACCAUACCGAAUCUGGGGACUUCGUGCCUCAUUUUCUGCAAAAUAAGAGAUAGUUAGGCCCUUUCCCCCUCCAGGUUCAUCUAUUUAUACAGUAAUGAUUAGCAUAUUGGCACUUAUUUCUCCAAAUUAAUGCACACAAUUGUGAUUACGUCCGUUGGAAUUGUGGAAAACCCGAUGGACUUUUGGACGAGGCUUCUCUUAAAGGGUUAUUAUGCAGACAACAUAUUAACCCAGCUAAGUUUGACCAUGAUGCAUGCAUAAUCAGAGUAAGGAUGCUAUAGAGGUCUAGACUAGGACCCUCAAGCAGACAACAUGAGGGGGAAAGGUGCGGAACCAUCGAACGCACCGUUGAUCGACUAGUUUUACCACAAAUACACCUUUCCGAAUUUAAAAGGGUGAUAUAUUGGAAUAACACAAACACUCAUCAAGCGUUGCUCUGGGAUUGAUUACGCACGAGUGGAAUAUGAUGUUGAGCAUGAUUUAUGCAACAAUAAAUAACAUGUUGUCAAGUAUUUGCACGUAAAAAAUGAUAAAUGUAGUAUUUAAAUAAUUGAAAGACAGUUACGGAAAAAGAAAAUAAAGAAACAAGUCAGUUUCAGGAAAAUAAAGAAAUCAUAAAUAAGCAGUUAAGUCCAAAUAAAGGGGAAAGGGUACACGGGAUAAAGCAUGCUUAGACUAAUUCACAAAAAUAAGUUAAGAGCCUAAAAUAUCCCCAGCAGAGUAGCCAUGCUAUCGCGCCCCUUUUUCCUCGCGGAGUCUGGGUUUCAACAUUCAUGGGGGAUUGACUCGUUUCCUUUUGGGAAUUGGGUAUUUGAAGAGUCGCCACCUAACGGAUUAAGGUAUGUAAGGGAACCUAUAGCAAUUAACUCAUAUAACUAGUUUGCAUCACCAGAGAUCGGGGAAAGGGCUCGAAAUGACCUUGAGGGGAAGGUGUUAGGCACCCCUCGCGGUCCACAAUGGUGGGUCCCGACCGAACAUAAACUAUUCAAAUUAGUCAAUUAACAAGUAAGCACGUAUUUGCAAAUAAAAUAGUUUUCCCAAUCUAAAUGCAUAUAUGAUAAAGGAAGUUCAGAUAAUGAAAGUAAAAGAGGUUUGGAUAGCUUACACAUGUAUAUGUAAAGAAAAAGGGAAGUUUAGAUAAUUUAAGCACUUACAGGAAUUGGGAAAGGGAAGUCCUAAGUUGAUUAGCCUACAGGAUCAAUCUGUGCAAUGCCCGAUAAUCCUCCUCAACUAGAAGGGCUACACGUGAUAUUAACGCGCAGGUCAUCAUAUCCUUUUACUACCCAUUAUCCCCCCCCCCCCACCACUUAUUAGUUACAUAAGAGAGUUUGAUUAACGACCUCUAAGCGUGCUGCUACCCGUCCCUUCCUUAUGGCCCCGGAGGAAUUUAAGGCCUCUAGACUUGGGCAGUUCUAGACAAUCCUAAGGUGUUUAAAAGGGAAAAGUCUAGGCGACAACGAAUAACAUAUAGGAUUGUCAAUUAAGGAAGAAGAUAAAAGGCUCAUGUUUACCUCCAUAUAUACAUAGGCAAAUAAACAACACGUCUCACACAGCUGAUUUUGAAGAAGUUCAGAUAACCUAGGAACAUGACAUCUAGAUGAAUGUUACAGAUAAAGGGUAUGCAGGGUUUGUUUUAAGGGAGGUGGCAAAAUCUUAACUAGUUUUGCCUACUGGUUUUAUAGCCUGUGAAAAUAAGCAGUUUAAAUACGAUCCGAACACAGUUUCUCUUUUUUUUACAAGGAGGUUAGUUACCUAAGGCUUGCCUAGGCAUGGGAUUCUAUAUAAUCACAGUUGUAGAAACUGUUUAAACAGUUUGAGAUUAUUCAACCUAUAGGCAUGCUGGACCUAGGUGAUACAGACUAUAACAGGCGAUUUAUCAAUUGUGUUUAGAGACAUGAUACUUAUACAUGAGUCUGUUUUAAACUUGUUCACGGACAACUAUUAUUUAAUCGAAAUAGACGUGGUUCAAACAGAUGCAAAUAGAGUUCCUAAGAACAUGGUAUCUAAUGUAUACAAGAAUGACAGUUUUAUUAAGAUUAUUUGAUAGCAAGAUGUUUAUGUGACAGUACUUGCGAAAAACCAAGAAUUGAGCAUGCAACAUACUGAAGUAGUAAACGUGAAGGUCCUAAAAACAGGUUAUCUAAUGCACAAGUUCAACAUUGUUUAAAUUUAAAUGAACACAUCAAUCCUAGAACAUGGCUUCUAAUGCAGAUUUGCAGGAUAUAAAACCUAUAGCAUGUUUUCUACCCAGUUUUACCCAUAGUAUUAUACAACUACCCUCCCGUUUCACUAGUUACCCCAAUAUCUGUUUACAAAUAGUUAUUAUAGACCAUAAUUGAAUAAAUUACAUAAAUGCAAUAUAAAUUAAGCUAUAGGGAGCCUGAUGCAGACCAAAGCAAACCUAGGGUACCAGGCCUUCAAUAGUCUCAAAUGCCAAGGAUUUCAUUGCCAAAUUUGUGUCCAGGUGUGUCAGAGUUUCCUAAGGACCUCAAGGAUCCUGGGCAGUGCUCAUACCCAGGCUUUUCUCAAAUAAAAACUGAUUAUGUGCAUUGUGAAAAAGCCAACCCUGAUAUGCCAGAGUUCAGAGAGACCUCAAGGAUCCCUAAGCAUUACACAUACCAGAAGGGCAGAACUUAAUAACCUAAGAGUAAGUGAGAGUGCUUGACAUAGUUCGAAAGACUUAGUGAAAAAUAGUUUAGGAGUGAAAAAGGUUUUUUUUAAAAUAGACCAAUUUUGAGAAAAUACUAGGAAUGAAAGCCAGUUUUUUAAAAGAAUACUAACAGCACUUGAAAACAGUUCAGAAGAGAGCAAAUUUAGUAGACAGCCAAUAAAUCAUAGAAGGUUCAGAUUCACAAGUACUAUAGCAGGCAGGUUUGCGCACAUGGGUGAAAGGGAUCAGGAACAUAGGAACCUCAUUGGGGUACAUGGAUAGGUUGCAAGGAGACAUGUGGACAAUAAUGUGCAUAGAUCACUAAAGAGCUUCAUAGCCUUAACAGAUUAAGCAGGAUAGUAGGCAAUUAAGACACGGGGAAAAGAUAUAGAGGAUAGAAUCAGACACACAAGUAGGAUCAACCAUAUUAAGCAACCAACAUGAUCACAUAGUUAAAGGAUUUAUCAUAAAUCAACAAACAGAUUGUUCAAACAUCAACUAGACAUGUGAAGUGUAGACAUGUUAGUAAUACAUUGAACAUGACAGAAUUUAGGCAUGCUAAACAAAGAAGUAACUAAAAGGAUAGGUCAAAUUCAUAAUCAAUGAGCUAAUGCAAGAAUAAAACACAUAGAGUUUGGGUUUUAGAUUUAACUAGAGACAUACCGGUUGAAGGAAAAAAUAAAAGAGUGCAAAAUAUAGAGCAAGUAUAGUCCAACUAUCUAGCCUUGGCUUUCAGCCAGCUAGACCCACAAUAGCACAAGUAGCACAAGCAACAAAGAAAAAGAGUAGUUUGAAUGUGUGUGUGUAUUAUGAGCUAAUAUCUAUCCAGAAGUGAGAAUAGAGGAGAGUAUAUAUAGUAGUUAGGAGCAAAACAGAGUAAGGUAAAGGAAAUCAAUCAGUCAGCAAUUAAGGAAGCUUACAGAAUCAAUUAUGCACAAAAUUAGAAUAGUCUCCCUUAAUUAAGUGCAGGACAACAUUUAAGGAAAGAAAAUCGAGUAAGACUUAAGUACAGAGUGGACAAUUAGGGGUAAAUAAGCAGGGGUUCAAUCAAGGAAACAAUCUUGAGGAAUCAGUAAGUAUCACAGUUAAUCAAAUAAGGUAAGAAACUGAAUAAGGUCGAAAAUAAAGGAAUAAUCAAGAAUAAGCCCCUAGGUAUUUUUACGGAGCAAAUCAGUGAAUCAGAAUCCAAAAUAGUACUGAUUUAAAGGAGAAUAAUAUAUGUUUCCACAAACACACAAAUAGGCUAAGUAUAAACACACAGAAUCAGUCGAGAAAUCAAGUCAGAAACCUUAAUAGAGUCAUACUAGGGUAAAAAUCACAAGACGUUUAAAUUAGACUAAGGAGAAAUCAUGAGAAUCAAAGCAUAGAACGAAAUAGUGCAUAGGUAACACGAUCAAGCUCAGAAUCAAAGAAAAAAUGUCAAAAUUGAGGUUUUAGCAUUAAUCAAUUAGGGCUAAGGCAAACUUAACAUAAAUCGACCAAAAGCACUCAAGAACAGAAGGUUAAACAUUCAAAGUCAGAAAACGUUUGGAGAAAAGGAUUUCCAGGAAACCCUAGCUUUAGAAAAAAUGGAAAAUCACUCGAAAAAUCAGAAGAUUUUUUAUGAAAAAACAUGUGAAAUAGGUCUGAUUCUUCUCAAAUAUGUACAUAUCUGAGAAGAUCAAAGACAAAAUUUAGGUUUUUCAGAAGUAAAUCAGAGAUAAGAACAUAUAUCUAGAAAAUCAUGGAUUCAUAUCAAAAUAAGAGAGGCUUCUUACUCAUGGUCGAGCAAAUGGCCUGAAACAGGCAAAGAAAUCAAAGGUGCAAACCAGACUGCCUAGGCCCAUUGAGAUCUUUUCAAGGAUCCAAGAAACUGAUGAACCAUAGCAAGUAGGAGGCCAAUAUAGGCCUGGGAUGACAGAGAAACAUCGUAGAACGGAGGGCUAAGCCGGUGACGGUGCCUAAAGAUUAGGGUUUAGAUAGAGAGCAUUUGAUAUAGAAGGGAACGGGUGACAGCGGGGUGUGGUGGAAAAUGAUUUAGGUUAGGAGGGGCCGUUUGGAGUUAAAAUUGGUAAGAAUCAAUGUGGGUCGUUGAUCUCAUAGAUCAACGACCAAGAUUAGAGAGGUUUGGGUCGGGUCUAAUUGCCUUUGGGCCUAGGUGAAUUGGGUUAGGGAUUUGGGCUGGUUUUUGGAUCCGAAAAUUAAGGAGAUUAAGAGGCUAUUUGUUAAAUACCCAAAUAUUUGAAUGAAAUUAUUUUUAUAAAAUAAUUAACAAUGAGAAAAAAAAUAUGCAUAGAAGUGCCUCAAAAUAAUUAUUCAAUAUUUUAAAAAUAUAAGGGACCAAUUUCUGGCAAAAUUAUGCAGUGAUGUGUACCUGGGCUAUAAUUGCAAAAUCGGUGCAAUUGUAAUCAAAAGGUGUAAAUCUGACCAUUUGUGAAAUAAUUAGAACUUAAUAAGGCCAUAAAUGAUAAUAUUAAAUCAAGAAAUGUUUUAAAAUCAUCUGUAAUGCAAUUUUGUAAUUAUUUAUACGAAUGAAAUAUUGAGAUAAAUUAAUUAAAAAAUACAAAAAUUAUGGAAAAAUACCUAUGGAUGCCAAUGCAUAGUUUUAAGGGUAUAUAUGCACUUCAAAAAUAUUAUAGAGAAAAAUUGGGUAUCAACAAAAGUGUCGAAGGUUGGCUCUUUGAUUGUAAUAUCUUUCGAUCCAUUGCUUUUAGCGGCCAACCGGACAAGGGCGUCCUCGCGCCUUUCGUCUAACAGUCCCAAGCUCGUAUUCAUGGACUCGUCGUUUGACUCUUUGGUCGCAUACCGGAAUGUGAGACUUGGUUCUCCUACAUCAACUGGUAAUAGGGCCUCGGCACCGUAAACCAACGAGAACGUGGUGACCCCAGUACUCGACUUUGAAGUCAUCUCAUACGCCCAUAGGACUUCGGGCAAGAUUUCCUUCCAUUUUCCUUUGGCGUCGGUCAACCUCUUUUUGAGGUGAGGAGUAUGGUUUUUUCGUGGACUCUGAUUUCCCGUUGCCACUAGGGUGAUUGGGCGUCGAUAGGAUCCUUUUGAUCUUAUGGUCUUCGAAAAACUUACUCACUUUGCUGCCGACGAACUGCUUCCCAUUGUCGUACACGAUCUCGGCUAGCAUCCCGAACCGGCAUAUUAUAUGGUCCCAGAUAAAAUCAAUGACCUCCUUCUCCCUGACUUUCUCAAACGCCUGGUCUUCAACCCAUUUGAAAAAUAGUCAGUCAUAAACAAUAUAAAUUAAGCCUUACCAUGUGCCCAAGGAAGGAGCAAGACGAUGUCCAUUCCCCAUUUCAUGAAUGGCCAGGGUGACAAGACCGAAUGUAGCAGCUCCCUGGUCUGAUGAAUCAUUGGACCAUGCCUUUGACAUUCGUCGUAUUUUUUUAUGAAAUCCUUCAUGUCCUUUUCCAUGUCGAUCAAGUAGUAGCUGCCUCUAAUUACUUUCUGAACUAAUGAUUAUGCGACCGAAUGGUUUUCGCAAGUGCCUUCAUGGACUUCUCUCAGAAACAUACUCAGUAUCUCCCGGUCCUAGGCAUGUUGCGAGUGGGCCAUCGAACAUUCUCCGGAACAUGGUAUCGUCUUCGGACAAGCUGAACUAGGUCGUCUUCGUAUCACGACCCAAAUCGAUGGGCCACAAAGGGCAACCGGUACUUUACUCAACCGAGUACCAAUGUAAUGUAUCUUUCUUAUUACAUCAUCAUAUAUACGUGACAUACGGGCCUAAUAGGCCAACAUGAUCUUUUAUAAACACGAAACAUAGGCCGACAAGGCCGCACAAUCUUUCACGUACAGGACAUAUGUCUACAAGCUUCUAAGAGUACAUAAAUGUCAUAAAGGUCGGUACAGAGUCCUACCAUACCAAACAAUACACGUCUAAAUCAUACUAACAAAACUCACAGCUCCGAAGCAAAUAGAGCGCACCAACAUCUUCCACUGAGCUGAUAGCCUACUUGGAGGGCUCUCAACCUGUCUAUCUGGACCUGUGGGCAUGAAAUGCAGUGUCCCCAGGCAAAAGGGAUGUCAGUACGAAUAAUGUACCGAGUAUGUAAGGCACAUAAAUAAAUACAUAAGAGACAUGAAAGAAAUAUAAAGUACAUGACUCAACCUCUAAGUCUGAAUAACUUUGUAAAUCAUAAAUUACUUUUAGCGUCAUGCAUAUGUGUACGAAUGUCAUGUCGUGCAUAGGUAUAUGUUUCAUAACAUCAUCAGCCUCUGANNNNNNNNNNNNNNNNNNNNNNNNNAUAUAUAUAUAACGCCGUUUAAAUUGUAUUUUAGCCAUUGUGGGCAACAUCAUCAUCAUAUACCAGCUGAUUAGGUGAUGGUGCGUAUAUAACGGUGUAACCUUUUCUCAUAUCCCAUAUACAUAUAUUUACAUAUAUACGCGUAUAUAAUGCCAUCUGGUCAUGGGUCAACACACAUAUAUGAAAUGCAUGAAAAAUACGUAAUAAUCUCAAUAUUCCUUCCAGAUAAUUUUUUUUCCAACUGCGUAUUAUUCUGAGACCCACGAGCAGAAUUUUUCAUGGGGAAUCAAGAAUAUAGACACCCCUACUAUUUCUAUGAAUAGAGUAAUUUAUGGAAACUAUGAGUUUGCUCGUUUCUUCUAUAUCAUAUGGACCAUACUAAAAGAAAUAAGGGAGGGUCUUAACAUACCUGGAGUAGGGAAAAAUCCGUAUGAUAUUCUUGGAAAGGUUGCACCGUACUUUCUUAGGAUCACAAAAUCUCGCGUUGCUAAUGUGCUAAGAAAUUUCGUCGGAAUUUCUUUGUUGCGAGACUUUUGUUAAAAGCUUGUUGGAUGGAGUUGUAACAUCUGGUUUGGACAUGUCUUGAAAUUGUAUUAGGAAGAAAUCAGAUUUGCAAUGUCUAUGAAAAAAAACUUGUAAGAAUUGCUCAUGUUAGUACUUUAGUAUAUUAAAUGUAAGAUUGAAGUGUUUCUUUAUAAAGAAACGUAUUGAAAGUUGAUGACAAUGGCUAACGCCCCCAUGCCCUCUUCUGAUUGUAGUCUUUUAUAUGGAAAAGCUUUGAAUUGAAAUAAAUGUGUAACUAUCACAUAAUUGCCACCUAAUCAAAUUUGUUCAAGAGUCACUCUUUUAAUAUGUGGAAUGCUGUCAUGUUUUGGGUUAAUCUUAUCCAAUAUAUCCCCAAUUAAUUAGGUAAUGUUUCGUUAUCAGGUAAUUAACUAAUUACCCGUAAAAUUAAGAAUUAUUCCUAUUUACUUAAAAUAUUAUUCACUUUUCACAUACCCUAUACACCUUACUAUUAUGGUUAUGUGGUACCUUGUAUGGUACUAGUCCAUAAAUACCGGGUAUUUUAGAUCGGGCCGUAUUUUACCCCAAAAUGACAAACUUGGACAAAAUUUAUUUUCUUUGAAUUGAUCCCCCUUUCACCUUCAUGAAUUUACUAAUUACUUGUGAAAUAGCAUAAUCCUUAUAAUAUCCAAAUACCUCUUACUUGGACUGAUGUCAAUUACAUUACAACAAAUUCAACGUACAAUACUUCAGGGUGCAGCAUCGUCAUAACUUAAUACUGCGAAGCGUGACAUCACCGUAAUGUAAUACUACAAGGCAUAACAUCCUCAUAAUAUAAUACUGCAGGGCGUAACAUCAUCGUAAUAUAUUACUGCAGAGCAUAACAUCGUCGUAAUAUAAUAUUGCGGAACAUGAUAUCGACGUAAUAUUGCGGGGCGUAACAUCAUUCCCCCCUUUGGAACAUUCGUCCUCGAAUGUUGACCAAUGGUCUUAUCAUUUUCAUACUUAUAUCUUCCGAAUACUUUAGAACUUCCCUUGCCAUCUAGGUGACUGUUUUGUGA